ACAUAUUCAGGCUGAUAUAUUCAGAACCAACUGACGAAGGCAUGCUGAAUUCUAAGGAAGGUACAGCAGAGACCAUGAGGAGCCCGAGUCUGCAAAAGCCUUUAUCUCCUCUUCAGAGAAGUCCAGAAGGGAUAAGGAGUCAGUCCAGGUCUUCGGCGAGAGAAUCAGUGGCAAGUCAAAACACAAGAACUCAAAGGAGAAACAGUGUCUUUUGCUCUCAACAUUGAGAAACAGAGGUCUAGCGCUAGCAGCCCCACAGCUCCCAGGGAAGAACUGCAACUGAGAAAGCGAUAUGGAAACAAGAGACCAUGCUGCUUCACCGUCUGCCGAAGUCUCACCUGUGCCACAGCCACCCCAGACAACACAAACCCCCUUUCACUGGAGCCCCCUGUUCAGAGCCACUGAGUCAUCUCCCAGUCCC
Molecule: long non-coding RNA, 421 nt
Filed under: Columba livia (rock pigeon)
Lineage: Eukaryota; Metazoa; Chordata; Aves; Columbiformes; Columbidae
Description: partial uncharacterized LOC106146047
Source: RNAcentral